This 403-nucleotide ribosomal RNA is filed under the name uncultured bacterium. Its description in RNAcentral is "partial 16S ribosomal RNA". It matches the Rfam family "Bacterial small subunit ribosomal RNA", at positions 30 to 526 of the family's 1533-position model. The record is from RNAcentral.
AUUGAACGCUGGCGGCAGGCCUAACACAUGCAAGUCGAGCGAGCGGCGGACGGGUGAGUAAUGUAUGGGGACUGCCUGAUAGAGGGGGAUAACUACUGGAAACGGUGGCUAAUACCGCAUACACUCGCAUAACCCAUAUGGGAUUAGCUAGUUGGUGGGGUAAAGGCUCACCUAGGCGACGAUCGCUAGCUGGUCUGAGAGGAUGAUCCGCCACACUGGGACUGAGACACGGCCCAGACUCCUACGGAGGCAGCAGUGGGGAAUAGUGAGCAAUGGGCGCAAGCCUGUUGCAGCCAUGCCGCGUGUAUGAAGAAGGCCUUAGGGUUGUAAAGUUCUUGCAGCUGGGAGGCGUUAACCGCAGAAGAAGCACCGGCUAACUCCGUGCCAGCCGCCGCGGUAAUUC